Molecule: unclassified non-coding RNA, 329 nt
Filed under: Anthonomus grandis grandis
Lineage: Eukaryota; Metazoa; Arthropoda; Insecta; Coleoptera; Curculionidae
Description: uncharacterized LOC126744410
Source: RNAcentral
GAGUAUUUUAUAAUACUAGUGGCGCACCAACACAAUGCAAUAUCAUGUGUUUUAAUCGAUGUUGACUGAUUAAUCGAUGUGUGAUUCCUGUAUUAAUUUGGUUUAGUUUGUUAUGUAUUAAGCCGUUUUUUAUAGAAAGUUAAACAAUUUCACUAUAUAGUCGAAGAGACAUUUCGUAGGUCAUGGUCAUCCAGGAAAAGCCUGCCUGCUAAGAGCCAUCUGCGAAAGCACUGAACUUUCCACAUCUGGUACCGGUAUACUUGGAGACCUUGUUCAUCUAGUAUUAACGCCAUCCACAUCUUUGAAUACCAACCUUACCAAGGAAUAUG